GGUUUGAUCUUCUGGCUCAGAUUGAACGCUGGCGGGAUGCUUUACACAUGCAAGUCGAACGGCAGCACGGACUUCGGUCUGGUGGCGGUGAGUGGCGAACGGGUGAGUGGUACGUAUCGGAACGUGCCUAGUAGCGGGUGAGCAACUACGCUACAGGGGUAGCUAAUACUGCAUACGCCCUUCGGGGGAAAGCGGGGACCUCGGGCCUCGCACCAUUAGAGCGUCGAUAUCGGAUUAGCUAGUUGGUGGGGUAACGGCUCACCAAGGCGAGACUUAUCCGUAGCUGGUUUGAGAGGACGACCAGCCACACUGGGACUGAGACACGGCCCAGACUCGCUGGCGCGGGCAGUGGGGAAUUUUGACAAUGGGGAAACCUCGAUCCAGCCAUCCCGCGCAAAGAUGAAGGCCUUCGGGUUGUAAAGCACUUUGGGUAGAAGAAAUGGCACGGGAUAACACCGUGCAACUGACGGUACCUGCAGACACCGGCUAACUACUGCCAGCAGCCAGUGUACGAUGUAGGGCGGGGCGUUAAUCGGAAUUACUGGGCGUAAGCGCAGCAGGUUCGGAAAGAAAGAUGCGGAACUCAGAGUUUAACUCAACUGCAUUUUUAACUACCGAGCUAGAGUGUCAGAGGGAGGGACCCGCGUGUAUAGCAGUGAAAUGCGUAUUAUGCGGAGGAACACCGAUGGCAGCGCAGCCUCCUGGGAUAACAUCGACGCCAUACGAAAGCGGGAGCAAACAGGAUUAGAUGGCCCUGGUAGUCCACGCCCUAAACGAUGUCAACGCCGUUGGGGGCCUUGGGCCUGUAGCAGCUAACGCGCAGUUACCCGCCUGGGGAGUACGGUCGCAAGAUUUAAACUCGUGCAUGAAUUGAUUGGACCCGCACAAGCGGUGGAUGAUGUGGAUUAAUUCACGCAACGCGAAAACCCGCCCACCUUUGACAUGUUCAACCUGAAGAGAUUUGGGAGUGUCGCAAGAGAACCGGAACACAGGUGCUGCAUGGCUGUCGUCAGCUCGUGUCGUGAGAUGUUGGGUUAAGUCCCGGAAACAGCGCAACCCUUGUCAUUAGUUGCUACGAAAGGGCACUCUAAUGAGACUGCCGGUGACAAACCGAGGAAGGUGGGGAUGACGUCAAGUCCUCAUGGCCCUUAUGGGGGCCACACGUCAUACAAUGGUCGGGACAGAGGGUCGCUAACCCGCGGGAGGGGGAGCAAUCCCAGAAAAACCGAUCGGGAACGGAUCGCAGUCUGCAAUCCUGAUCGGUGAAGUCGGAAUCGCUAGUAAUCGCGGAUCAGCAUGUCGCGGUGAAUACGUUCCCGGGUCUUGUACACACCGCAGUUCGUCACACCAUGGGUAUUGGUUUUACCAGAAGUAGUUAGCCUAACCGUAAGGAGGGCGAUUACCACGGUAGGAUUCAUGAUCAGAAGUCGUAACAAGGUAG
Molecule: ribosomal RNA, 1441 nt
Filed under: uncultured Bordetella sp.
Lineage: Bacteria; Pseudomonadati; Pseudomonadota; Betaproteobacteria; Burkholderiales; Alcaligenaceae
Description: partial 16S-23S ribosomal RNA intergenic spacer
Rfam family: Bacterial small subunit ribosomal RNA
Source: RNAcentral